This 492-nucleotide ribosomal RNA is filed under the name uncultured bacterium. Its description in RNAcentral is "partial 16S ribosomal RNA". It matches the Rfam family "Bacterial small subunit ribosomal RNA", at positions 30 to 507 of the family's 1533-position model. The record is from RNAcentral.
AUUGAACGCUGGCGGCAUGCUUAACACAUGCCAGUCGAACGGAAACACGCUGCUAGUUUGUGCUUAUUGGCGGCCGGUGGCGUAAGGCACAGGAACGUACCCGGCCCUUGGUUUUAGUUUGGCUUAAGGUAAGGGAACAUACUAUACGAUCGGAGACUACCAACGGGGGACAGCAUGGCAUCGUUGGAUCUGGCGGGAUUGUAUGAGCCGAUGUCGGAUUUGCUAGUUGGGGGGUUAAAGCCCCAGCAAGUCGACGGUCCGUAGCUGGCCUGAGAGGAGGAUCAGCCACACUGGAACUGAGACACGGUCCAGACUCCUACGGGAGGCAGCAGUGGGGAAUGGUGGACAAUGGGCGCAAGCCUGAUCCAGCAAUGCCGCGUGCGGGAAGAAGGCCUUCGGGUUGUAAAGUCCUUUUGUAGGGAACGAAACGCAUCUGGUUAAUACCCGGCGCUAAUGACGGUACCGGAAGAAUAAGCACCGGCUAACUACGUG